AUUUAUAUAAUAUAAUUAAUUAUAUUUGACUUCCAAUCAAAAAAUCUAAUCUUUAGUAUAAAUA
This 64-nucleotide transfer RNA is filed under the name Leptomona erythrocephala. RNAcentral's name for it is "tRNA-Gly". Lineage: Eukaryota; Metazoa; Arthropoda; Insecta; Coleoptera; Chrysomelidae. The record is from RNAcentral.